UACGUAGGGUGCAAGCGUUGUCCGGAAUUAUUGGGCGUAAAGAGCUCGUAGGCGGUCUGUCGCGUCGGCUGUGAAAACCCGGAGCUCAACCCCGGGACUGCGUCCGAUACUUCCGAGCUGGAGGUAGGUAGGGGAGAUCGGAAUUCCUGGUGUAGCGGUGAAAUGCGCAGAUAUCAGGAGGAACACCGGUGGCGAAGGCGGAUCUCUGGGCCUUACCUGACGCUGAGGCGCGAAAGCUAGGGGAGCGAACAGG
This 253-nucleotide ribosomal RNA is filed under the name uncultured bacterium. Its description in RNAcentral is "partial 16S ribosomal RNA". It matches the Rfam family "Bacterial small subunit ribosomal RNA", at positions 524 to 776 of the family's 1533-position model. The record is from RNAcentral.